This is a ribosomal RNA of Vulpes vulpes (red fox), 112 nucleotides long. The record is from Ensembl. NCBI's taxonomy places the organism in Eukaryota, Metazoa, Chordata, Mammalia, Carnivora, Canidae.
UUCUAGGGCUAUCCCACCCUGAAUAUGCCUGAUCCAAUCUGGAAGGUAAGCAAGUCAGUCCUGGUUUGUACUUGGAUGGGAGACUACUUGGAAAUGUCAAGUGCUAUAGGCU